This 542-nucleotide ribosomal RNA is filed under the name uncultured bacterium. Its description in RNAcentral is "bacterial SSU rRNA". It matches the Rfam family "Bacterial small subunit ribosomal RNA", at positions 356 to 896 of the family's 1533-position model. The record is from RNAcentral.
GGGGAAUAUUGCACAAUGGGCGAAAGCCUGAUGCAGCGACGCCGCGUGAGGGAUGACGGCCUUCGGGUUGUAAACCUCUUUCGCUCAUGGUCAAGCCGCAACUGUGGGUUGUGGUGAGGGUAGUGGGUAAAGAAGCGCCGGCUAACUACGUGCCAGCAGCCGCGGUAAUACGUAGGGCGCGAGCGUUGUCCGGAAUUAUUGGGCGUAAAGGGCUUGUAGGCGGUUGGUCGCGUCUGCCGUGAAAUCCUCUGGCUUAACUGGGGGCGUGCGGUGGGUACGGGCUGACUUGAGUGCGGUAGGGGAGACUGGAACUCCUGGUGUAGCGGUGGAAUGCGCAGAUAUCAGGAAGAACACCGGUGGCGAAGGCGGGUCUCUGGGCCGUUACUGACGCUGAGGAGCGAAAGCGUGGGGAGCGAACAGGAUUAGAUACCCUGGUAGUCCACGCUGUAAACGUUGGGCACUAGGUGUGGGGGCCACCCGUGGUUUCUGCGCCGUAGCUAACGCUUUAAGUGCCCCGCCUGGGGAGUACGGCCGCAAGGCUA